ACGACAAAAAGGCAACUAGGCAAUCCAUCUGUUCCCACGCAACGCUACCACCUUCAACUGCAGCCACCCAAACUCCGCGGCGGCCCCAGCGCUGCCUCAAGCCCAUGCACAGAUCACCUAUACCUUGGCACAGUGGCAAGUUCAGAGUUUAGAGCCACCAGAUUCAAGCUCCAGCAGCGCCGAUGCACAGCGAUGCCGCAAUGCCUCUCCGGCCAAGACCCCGUCUAAUGCCGCCACAAGAAGGAGAAGCUCCGGAAGCGAGACUGAACCGAGAUCCAGCACGCAAGGUCCCUGCCUGUGGUGCGAUUCAACUCCUCCUAGGUCCACUUCAAGCUCAUGGACUCCAUGGAGAAAGGAUACUUGUCAAGUCAGAGAAUGACUCCGAUAACCACAACGGCAAUGGAGGUGUGUGGCGUUGACCGUGACGAAGAUGACGCGGGGUUUGGGGAAGAGGGGGAGAGAAAGGGGGAGGGAUCCGGUUGGAGAGGUUGUGUCGGUGAUCAAGUUUCUUGGAGAUGGGUUCAUGAAGAUGGAAAUGCCGUCAUGGUAGCGGUGGUGGAGUAGCAGAGAAAAAAGGUGGUUAAGGUGGUGGUAAUGGAGGGAUGUGAAAGUUUGAGUGGGAAAGAAGAGAUGGUUGGGAGUUGAUGUUGAAGAUAAUGGUGGGGCUAAUUCUGGAAUUUUAUUAAAAAGUCAACAUGAAUUUAGGAUUUGGGUACUUUUGUCGUACGGAAUCCAUCUUUGAUGGAUACAACGUUAUUUUCCUUCUUUAAUGGGUAUUUUUGUUAGCGUUCGUAAAGUUCAUUGGUACAAAUGGUUGUUUUUCCAUAUAAUUUAUGCAUUCCUAGUUUUGUAUUUGAAAUUUAAGUUGAUUGAGGUUUAAAUUUUAUUUAGUUUGA
Molecule: non-coding RNA, 896 nt
Organism: Arachis ipaensis
Lineage: Eukaryota; Viridiplantae; Streptophyta; Magnoliopsida; Fabales; Fabaceae
Source: RefSeq, a predicted model, not a curated record